This is a long non-coding RNA of Syzygium oleosum, 557 nucleotides long. RefSeq lists it as uncharacterized. The transcript has 2 exons. Lineage: Eukaryota; Viridiplantae; Streptophyta; Magnoliopsida; Myrtales; Myrtaceae. The record is from RefSeq and is a predicted model, not a curated record.
CUAAUUCAGUAAUUCCCAAAUGCUCCCUGCUCCUCUUGAAUCGCACCUUUGAAAUUCCAACGCAUCCGUUUCGCCACACACGCACACCCCCCAAACCCAUCCACAGACUCACUCACUCUCACACACACGCCACUCUCUCUCUACACUCUCGCAGUCGAACGAAUCUCCGGCGAGAAGCGACGAUUUCCUCACCGUUCGUCGGCCCUCCGUCUCGCGGCUGCGGACCCCUGCAUUUCCCGGCGGAUUCCUCCGGCAAUCGCCCCGGAUCAGCCCGAGGAAAAGAGCAACUCCAAUGGGUACCAUGCAUUUGCUCCUCGGGGAACAACAAUUAUGUCUAAUGACUGAAACUUAGCUCUUUUAGUACGAAUGUCUUCGUUUCAAAUGUUUAAAUUCAUAGAAGUAGGAUUUAGAGGAGUUGGUGAUGUCCUCUUGCACGGCAGCAGCAUCCAUUUCAUUUUGUGAUGUCCUCUAACAAGUCUAGUGACUGAAACUUGGUGACAAGUCUAGUGACUUUUGUUAUGUUUCCUCUCUUUUAUCUAAUGAAAUUCCUUGCCAAA